Molecule: ribosomal RNA, 840 nt
Filed under: alpha proteobacterium SCGC AAA008-M17
Lineage: Bacteria; Pseudomonadati; Pseudomonadota; Alphaproteobacteria
Description: SSU rRNA
Rfam family: Bacterial small subunit ribosomal RNA
Source: RNAcentral
ACGCUGGCGGCACGCCUAAUACAUGCAAGUCGAACGAAGUAGCAAUACUUAGUGGCAGACGGGUGAGUAACAUGUGGGUAUCUUCCCUUUGGUGAGGAAUAACACGAGGAAACUUGUGCUAAUACCUCAUAAGUCUUUACGGAGAAAGCUUUAUGCGCCAAUGGAUGAGCCCGCACUUGAUUAGUUUGUUGGUGGGGUAAUGGCCUACCAAGACAAUGAUCAAUAGCUGAUUUGAGAGGAUGAUCAGCCACAUUGGGACUGAGACACGGCCCAAACUCCUACGGGAGGCAGCAGUAGGGAAUCUUGCACAAUGGGGGAAACCCUGAUGCAGCGAUGCCGCGUGAGUGAAGAAGGCCCUUGGGUUGUAAAGCUCUUUCGUCGGGGAAGAAAAUGACUGUACCCGAAUAAGAAGGUCCGGCUAACUUCGUGCCAGCAGCCGCGGUAAUACGAAGGGACCUAGCGUAGUUCGGAAUUACUGGGCUUAAAGAGUUCGUAGGUGGUUAAAAAAGUUGGUGGUGAAAUCCCAGAGCUUAACUCUGGAACUGCCAUCAAAACUUUUUAGCUAGAGUAUGAUAGAGGAAAGCAGAAUUUCUAGUGUAGAGGUGAAAUUCGUAGAUAUUAGAAAGAAUACCAAUUGCGAAGGCAGCUUUCUGGAUCAUUACUGACACUGAGGAACGAAAGCAUGGGUAGCGAAGAGGAUUAGAUACCCUCGUAGUCCAUGCCGUAAACGAUGUGUGUUAGACGUUGGAGAUUUAUUUUCAGUGUCGCAGUGAAAACAAUAAACACACCGCCUGGGGAGUACGACCGCAAAGGUUAAAACAUCAAAAGGAAAUUGUCGUG